AACGCUAGCUACAGGCUUAACACAUGCAAGUCGAGGGGCAGCAUAAAAGUAGCAAUACUUUGGUGGCGACCGGCGCACGGGUGAGUAACGCGUAUGCAACCUACCUAUCAGAGGGGAAUAACCCGGCGAAAGUCGGACUAAUACCGCAUAAAACAGGGGCACCGCAUGGUGAUAUUUGUUAAAGAAAUUCGCUGAUAGAUGGGCAUGCGUUCCAUUAGGUAGUUGGUGAGGUAACGGCUCACCAAGCCGACGAUGGAUAGGGGAACUGAGAGGUUGGUCCCCCACACUGGUACUGAGACACGGACCAGACUCCUACGGGAGGCAGCAGUGAGGAAUAUUGGUCAAUGGGCGAGAGCCUGAACCAGCCAAGUCGCGUGAAGGAAGAAGGAUCUAUGGUUCGUAAACUUCUUUUGCAGGGGAAUAAAGUGCGGGACGUGUCCUGUUUUGUAUGUACCCUGAGAAUAAGGAUCGGCUAACUCCGUGCCAGCAGCCGCGGUAAUACGGAGGAUCCGAGCGUUAUCCGGAUUUAUUGGGUUUAAAGGGUGCGUAGGUGGUUUGAUAAGUCAGCGGUGAAAGUUUGCAGCUUAACUGUAAAAAUGCCGUUGAAACUGUCGGACUUGAGUGUAAAUGAGGUAGGCGGAAUGCGUGGUGUAGCGGUGAAAUGCAUAGAUAUCACGAAGAACUCCGAUUG
Molecule: ribosomal RNA, 691 nt
Filed under: uncultured bacterium
Lineage: Bacteria
Description: bacterial SSU rRNA
Rfam family: Bacterial small subunit ribosomal RNA
Source: RNAcentral